RNAcentral lists this long non-coding RNA (601 nucleotides) under Medicago truncatula (barrel medic). Its description in RNAcentral is "long non-coding RNA (MTRU_LNC001933)". The record is from RNAcentral. Lineage: Eukaryota; Viridiplantae; Streptophyta; Magnoliopsida; Fabales; Fabaceae.
AUCGUGCAGUUGAAGUGAUACUCUCCUAUCAUUGCUUAAUUGGUAAUUCUCUCAAUCCUAAUAUUGUGUUGUUUUUACUUUUAAUCCAAACGAUUUUUUUUUCUAACGUAGUGUUUUUAUGUUUAUUUGUGCUAGCACCGUUGAUUUGGAAUCCAGUCAUGGAAAUUGACAAAAUUAUAAAUUCAAUGCGAUUGAAAUAACAUACAUUGUGGAGUUUGAAUUCGAUUGUUUUAGUUUUUACUUCUUUCAAUCUUUCAUCGGUUUGGUUCAUGUUGUUUUUUAAGUGGCAUUGAUAGAUGACUGCGUCAACAAACGAGACUACAUUGUUGUGUUUGGAAUUGUGCCCAACAAGAACUGCAAAAUUUGGGGGGAUGGAAAAGAAUGAUUGAUAAACGUAGGACUAAUUGUUUAUCGAUCUUGUGAACUAUUUGAUGGUACAUUUUUUGUUCUAUUUAUCGAUUAUGUGUUUUGUCAUUAGACAUAUCUUUUUUGGUUCAAGUAGCGUUUCACAAUGUAUCCGUCAGAAUUAAUUGUUGAUGUUUAUAAUAUUCAAACUUCAAUGAGAAAUAUCCUUUAUAUUUUGUCAUUAGCGAAACAUAUG